AAGUCGUAACAAGGUAACCGUAGGUGAACCUGCGGUUGGAUCAUUAAUGUAAACAUUACGUUGCGUCUGCCGAGUGGUGUCCAAGCCACGAAGCAUCGAUGCACAGUCCAUCCCUUCCAGGAUGGCACUGACCAACACCUAUGUGAACUGUUUCUGUCUCUGGCAGUGGGAGUGUGUCCUGCUUUAUUUUAUUGCUGGCUGCAUUCUGUCAACCCUCCUUUGUGAUGGUCGUGGACAAGCUGCCAAAACCCUUCAUUAUACACCUUUUUAUGCUGACAUGUUUUACUAUGUGUAGAACACUCAUUCUAUAACUUUUGGCAACGGAUCUCUUGGCUCUC
Molecule: unclassified non-coding RNA, 338 nt
Filed under: fungal sp.
Lineage: Eukaryota; Fungi
Description: partial internal transcribed spacer region
Rfam family: Eukaryotic small subunit ribosomal RNA (bases 1-46)
Source: RNAcentral